Molecule: long non-coding RNA, 1346 nt
Filed under: Medicago truncatula (barrel medic)
Lineage: Eukaryota; Viridiplantae; Streptophyta; Magnoliopsida; Fabales; Fabaceae
Description: lncRNA gene4345
Source: RNAcentral
GACCCGCACAAGCAUUCAAAACAUUACUCCAAACCCAUUGAACCAAAAACUUUUUAUCUCUAAUCCCAUUAACAUUAAACGUUUUUCCACUUUUAUCCUUCAUAACUUCUCCGAUAUAACCACCACCACCGCCGGUACCGUACAAACCCUCACACAAAUCACCAAUCUCCGUCGGCGCCGUCGGAUCCUCACCGGCGUACCACGCGUUCACAAGCGGAUUCGACGAAAGCUCAGCUAAUUCAUGAGCAAUGACACUCACCAUUCCGUCUACUCCGACGUUCCCGUUCGGCGGCGAGAGUUUCCCUGGUCCACCUCCCGCCAUGUAACUCGGUACCGCGAAUGGAUACGCGCAAACCUCCGGACACUGUGUGCCGGAGUUUCCUACCCAAGCGUAAGGGAGAGUGUAACCUACCUUCGACGGAAAAGUGAAGUAGUGGAAACCACACACCGCACGGCAAUAUUCAUCCAUCGUAACAUCAUCGGCGGUUAGAACUAGAUAAAUCCCUUUCCGAUGAUCAACAGGGAAAGGUUUAGAUCGAACCGCCGUAGCGAUUACAUCUUGAAUUGAGAGUCUUGUUAGGCGUUUGCCGAGUGAGUAACGAUAAUCGGAAUAUUCUCCGGCGAUGGAGACUGUUUUGGAGAUGUUAGCACCGGUUUGAUCGGUGUAAAGUGUAACGGUACGCCACCAGUCGGAGACGGAGGGGUGAGGUACGGUUGUAUCGGAGAUUGAAUUGAGAAAAUCUUUGAUGAGAGAUUUGUGUGGUUUUGGCCAGUUACCGUACCAGAUAAGGUAGAUAUUGAUCGGAGAAGAUAAAACUGGACCCAUAUGGUACUUGAGUUUGACUAGAUCGGAAGAUCCUUCAUAACGUUUUGAUGAUGAUAGUGUUUUCAGUGGUGGUAGUGGAAGUUUUGGGUUGAAUUUUGUGUUUAGUGUUUCAAAUUCUCCAUUUUGUUCACUUACUAUAAGUGAAAAGAAAAAAGAUAGAAAAAGAACGAGAAGAAGAAGAAGAAUUGGUGUAGGUGACAUGUUUGUGAAAAUGCUAAUGAGAAAGAAGAAGUGAAGACACUUCACUAGGUAUUUGAAAUUGAAUUGAAAAAUGAGAUUGGGUAAUGUUAUUUUAAUGGGAGGAGACGGUGGAAGAAGGGUUAAGAUUAUAUAGUAAAAGUAGUAAUUUGAUUGGGAGGGAAAGGAAAUGGGCUGGAGACAGCUGCCAUGUGUGGGCGCAACUUUACUGGCCAAAAACAAUCAUAAAUAUCUAUCUACUUUUUUUUUUUUUUUUUAUGUUUUUGAAAAGUUUAGAUAUUUGUUUGUUUGAUUCUAUAAACUUGUUUUGACUCAUACUGAC